RNAcentral lists this ribosomal RNA (374 nucleotides) under uncultured bacterium. RNAcentral describes it as "bacterial SSU rRNA". It matches the Rfam family "Bacterial small subunit ribosomal RNA", at positions 524 to 898 of the family's 1533-position model. The record is from RNAcentral.
GACGGAGGGUGCUAGCGUUGUUCGGAAUCACUGGGCGUAAAGGGCGCGUAGGCGGCCUUUUCAGUCGGGCGUGAAAGCCCGGGGCUCAACCCCGGAACGGCGCCCGAGACGGGAAGGCUGGAGACCGGGAGAGGAGGGUGGAAUAGCCAGUGUAGAGGUGAAAUUCGUAGAUAUUGGCUGGAACACCGGUGGCGAAAGCGGCUCUCUGGCCCGGGUCUGACGCUGAGGCGCGAAAGCGUGGGGAGCAAACAGGAUUAGAUACCCUGGUAGUCCACGCCCUAAACGAUGUGCGCUGGGCGUCGGGGGGCUUGCCCCUCGGUGCCGGAGCCAACGCGGUAAGCGCACCGCCUGGGGAGUACGGCCGCAAGGUUAAA